This is a long non-coding RNA of Dermochelys coriacea (leatherback sea turtle), 5109 nucleotides long. RefSeq lists it as uncharacterized. The transcript is spliced from 2 exons. Lineage: Eukaryota; Metazoa; Chordata; Testudines; Dermochelyidae. The record is from RefSeq and is a predicted model, not a curated record.
AAGCACACACAGGCGCUUUAAUGAAUCAGCCUGUCAAUAAAAAUAUCGUCAGAUUGAAUUCAUUGGGUGAUCCAAAAUUGGACCAAGGCUUCCAAAAAAAACAAAACAAAGCCACAAUCCAAAAACAAAAGCAGGUCCACCAUUUUAAUUCCUUCCUAUGCUCUCAGUGCAACUCUUCAUUAAACUAAAGUCCAGAAAGUAAUCUUGCUAAGCAGACAUAUUCUUAUUGCUUUCACAAGUCACACUGUGUCUUAAGGGUUGCAUUUUCUCCAAUACCUAUUACCAAGAUGGCAUAAAACCAACAGCAUCACCUACUGCAUAAAAUAAGGGUAUUGAAACGAAAGGCAGUGAGGGCACCUGCCAACUGGAAGUUUAUGAAAAGCAACUACAAGCAAGGGCCUUGUACAUUUAAUUAAACAUUGCCAUCAUGGUUUAGCAUUGGAACGAGAAGUUACAAGAACAAGAUCAUAUCCUUUAAAAAUAGACACUGCUGUAAUUGGAUUGGCUGGAUUUUAAUUUCUUCACUAAUCUGGCUGUUGUUGGACUGGACACAGGCACAUGCACUUAAUGGGCAGGAGGUUUCAUUAAAUGCUCAUCGUUUAAAAAGGGAGCCAGAAAAAACAGCAGGGACAACAAUCUAAGGCUUGGGGUGGGAAAUGGGAUUAUUCUGGGUGGUAGAAUCAUGUAUGUAUUAAUUACCAUUGGCUGGCAGAAAUACUGAGAGUUUUUUAAACUUUGCUAAUCUUUAAAUGUAACUUCACCUUAUAAAGUAAAAACAGCUGAUGAUCCCAAGUCAUUAACAGACCACUUGUAUAUUUCAGUUACAAAUAUAUUUUAAAGCUGCCCUACAAGUUAUUGUGUCUGUUUUGUUUUUUAAAGAUUUACCAUGACCUAAAUUCAUUUGUGCAUUUGUUCAGCUACUUCUAGCAUCAACCGUUGUAGAGGAGCUGCAUUGCUGUGUGCUCAUGAGGUCAUCAGGUGUAGUAAGGGAAAUAAAGCCAGAAGGGUCCUGGUAGGUAAAUGAAAAAGGAAUAAUUUAAAGUAAGCUUAAACAUUAAAAUGUGUGUUUGUGUUUAAUACUACGCAAAUGCAGUCUGCUGUUAAUGAUGUGGAUUGUUAAGAAUUGAUCGUAAAUUUUUAAUACUUCACCUCACCUUUAAAUGUAAAGUUCGAACCUAUUUCAAGAGUAGAGCUGUUAAAGCGAUAUGAACUGAUUAUAAAAUCAAAGAAAAGCAAUGCCAUCUAGAGGAGAAGCAUUGUCUUACAGAAAAUCACGAUCCAAUCAGUGGCCCAGUCUCAAAGAAGAGGUGCAGUGCAUGUAAAAGGGCUGUAUUUUGGGUUUACACUUUGUUGAAAUGCACAGUACCAUUCUGAGGGUAAACAAUUCAGUCUCUUUCCAUGACUAAAUAUAAUUAAACAUUUACAAUUCGAUGCAUAUUAUUUUGUUGCAAAGGAAGCUGACAGCUACACUAAAGCUAUUGCUUUUACAUUGUAAAAUUAUGCAUCCAGCCACUGCUUUAGAUCCAAGUAUAUUAAAGAUUUUCCCAUCAACAGAAGCUAGAGGCACAAUUCUAGGCCAGCCCAGUUGUUUGACAAGAUGCUGAGCGGAUGGACACUUGAGUUUGAGCUGUGGGAUUUCAGAUUAGAGGAAAUACUGUACUGGCUCCUAUCUGCUGUGGAGAAGACACUCGGCCUCAUGGUGAGUAAAGGAUAGAGGUGAGUGUUCACAUUAUCUGCGUUCUUUGAUAGGCAGCAUAGAUGAAUGUCUUGCCAUCAGCUCAAAAACUAGAGACCAAAUUUGACUACUUCAUACCCAAUAAAACAUGCAAUGGAAUAGAGGGGUCAGUAGUAAGCAAACUCCAUGUCAGCAACAAUUAUAAACUCUUCCACUUCCCACAAAGUUUUAAUGUCCUUUCACCCAUGUGGAGCAGGGGCCAACUUAGACUCUUGAUUAUGAUCAUCUACCUUUUUAUCCUCUUGGUGUAGGGAAGAAUCCAUAUUUACAAGCACUGUGGAAAUCAUCCAAUAGGCACCUUCCUCUCAUCUUUCCGGAUAUAUCACACUUGUUUCCAGCAGAUUGAACUGACACUGCGCUAGUAAAAAUGAGUCCAGCCACUGCAGCCCUGCCUACAGCUGAACUGGUAGAUGACACCUAGUAUAUACAAGGUGCCCUUGCCAGCAGUGAGACAUUUUUAUCAUUAUGUCAAUUAAAUCUGCUGAAAGUGAGUUUCAAGAAAGGGAAUGCAGCACCAAUGAGUCUGCCUUUCUGGGGAACCCACAGCAAGAGCUAGCCAACAACAGCAGAGUUACCAGUCCCACACACCACAGUUGCCGCAACAAGGCAACAACCAGCUGCCUUUUAGGGGGUAUACUUUUCUGCCCCCUCUUGAGAAUCGCCCCCAACUCAUCUCUCCAGGAGGCAGGAGUUGGGAAUAAAACAGCAUUACGUCUAAGACUGGGCAUUGACUCCAGAUGGGUUAAAAAGUUUCCUCUACACAAAACUGAAGGAGUGUCAAGAAGCCAUGCAAAGUAGCUGAGUUUUAACAUCUCCCCCUCUUCGUGGGUGGAAUCAGCUGUAGGUUACCAUUUAAAUAGCGUGGGGAGUAUGAAAGGGCUUUCCUGCUCUCCUUAAAGGAGCACAACUCAGAUAUUAGAAACAUACAACUAAAGAGUCCAGGUAGUGAAAAGAAGGUAAUUAGACAGGUGGAUUAUAAUUUACAGUAGCCACCGUAGUUCCUUCUAAUAAAAUUUUUAAAAAGCUGAACUCUUAUGAUAAGAAAAAUAUUGAAAGUUUAAAUCUCAAAGUCAAGAAGUUCGGUUACUUUACGUAGAUACCCAUGGUUGUUGGAAAUACCGCUCCAAGGCCUACAUUAGCAAUGGAAACUCAUUGGCCAGACAAAUUAGAGGGUGGCUGUGAUGACUGAAUACUUCUAUGGGAGGCAAAGACAGGGAAGAAGCAACUAUCCUUCCCCCAACAAUCCCUUCCCCGUUAGCCUAGCCAGAGUAGGGAGGAUUUUCAGUGACUUAAUUCUGCUCCCACUCAGCUCAAUGGGAGCUUAAGGGUUGUCUACACAAGAAAAAUUUCCAGCAUAGUUAUCUAUACUGUAAAACUCCCCACGUGAAUGCUUAUUCUAGAAAAAGAGCGUUCACACAGAAAGUUAUCAGUAUAACUAUAGCGGUAUAAUUAUGUUGGUAGAUUUCCCCAUGUAGGUAAAACUGAAAAGUUACCAAAUUCCUUGCAUCAUAGGUUAACACAACAAUUACAUCUCAACGGCAAAUUCACAAUUGCCUACUAAAAUAAGAGUACAAUCCAUGCUGGCCAUGCUUCAGAGCCAAAGACUAUGCAGUGAAGUGCAAGGUUUACAAGGAAUGCUAAGAAGGGUCAUUAAACAGAAGCCAGAGUGCCAGAAUUUAACAAGCUGACUCAAUAAAUGCCUUGCCCUGUAUUGUUAAACCUUAAUCCCUAUAAAAUAAUCCAUGGCUGAGGUUUAAGUAAUGUUAACUGGCACCAAACACAUAAGCUUUUGAAGUUUUAAAUAUUGCCACAUUUUAUAAUAUGUAACCAAUAUAAAAUUAUGGGACACACUCCGUAUCUUUUUCAAGUAGUCCCGUUGAUCUCAAAGCAACCACUCAUAGAUACAAGAUGACACAAUCUCACCAUAUCUGAUUAAACUAUGGCACAGAAGCAAGAAAAGGUUUUCUACCAAAAUUAAAUUUCAUUAAAUAUUCAUUUAGAUGGACUGUAGCAAUCAAAGCUGACCUGACUAGUGUAUUACAAGGACUAUUUUAAACUCAUCAGAAAGUCAUAUUUUGAUAUUUCAAUUACUAACAUUGGAAAUAAAUAUACAUACAGAGUUAAGGAGAACAAUCUAGCCUAUGUCAGGGGCCAUCCUGUUGUUUGGGGUUUGCAUCAUGCCUAGCACAAUGGGGUGCUGGUGUAUCACUGGGGCACUCGGAGACACCACCGCCAUAUAAAUAAUAAUGUACAAAUUGUAGCCGAGGAUAAAAGGUAUCCGGUAUAUUUAGUAUAUAGAAGUGAAGCAAGUAUUAAUUAAUAGUUUAACACAAGGCCUACAUGCCUCAGGCCUGUAAAAUAUUUAGCUUAGCCAAAUUAGGCUUUAGUAUAAAUUAAGUUAAUAAUAAACCUGCUGAGCUUGUGUUUAGGUUUGUGAUACGCUGAUGUUUUGAAAAUAACUGCUGAGUGAUAAAGUGAGGUAAAUGCUAAUAAGUAGGAGAGGAACUUACAAGUUAGCCUGUGCAAAGCAGGGAACCCCAAAUACAGUGAGGUGUGGAAGUGCAAAUAAGGAAAAGGGGUUAAAACCUUCAUAAAUACAUAUGAACACUAGUGGACAUCAGCCUAUGAUGUCAGAAAAGCUGUCUCCUGGCUCGUGCGCCUUGGUGUGGGAAGACAACAAAAUGAUGACCACUAGUGGUGGUGAUGACAGCGAGGAUGAAGAACAACACUUCAGGCUUUUCCGCAAGGCCUAAUGUGAGUAACGCAAAUACCAUCAUUCUGGAUUGGUUGGUCUCUCCUUUACCAGACUGCAGUGUGUGUACUGUUUGGUUAGCUAAUAAAAGUAAUUAGUAUAGAAAAAUCACUGUUGCAUCUCUGUUGUGCACUAUGGGGUGGGCUCUCUUCUACUGAUAACCUCUCUACUAUAGUCAAUCUUGGGGGCUCAACUAUCCCAGAUUAAAAUAGGUGUAAACCUCCAUCUUUAGGUGGGUAAUUAGUUAAAGCAACCCAUAACUAUAGAUAAGUCUACAAAACUACGUGCAGAACAAAAGCUAACCAAGAACCAUCUCAAGUACAAACUCUUUAUGAAGUAUACAUAGAUAUCUGUUCUUAAAUUAAGGUGAAAUUCAAGAUAAGGAGUUUCCUCUUUGGGAAAACUGGGUGACCUUCAGCUUCCUGCAUGCCCUCCUGUUCAGACAGGCUUUGUUAUGGAACUCUCGGAUCUGAUUUAUUUGACACUGUGUCUCUGAUUCACCAGUGUGGCCCUCCCAUCUAUACAGAUGGCCCAUGCAGAUGAAUGGAACAGGACAUCAAUCUAGGUUACAUUUCAGUCCCAUUUUUAGCUCUCUCUUGGUGAGGCUGCUUUGUCAAUAUUA